AAAUAAGAACUAAACUCUUAAUUUCGACUUAAGAUAAGAAAUUAAAUAUUUCCUUAUUUA
Molecule: transfer RNA, 60 nt
Filed under: Olinga feredayi
Lineage: Eukaryota; Metazoa; Arthropoda; Insecta; Trichoptera; Conoesucidae
Description: tRNA-Arg
Source: RNAcentral